RNAcentral lists this ribosomal RNA (402 nucleotides) under uncultured Devosia sp. RNAcentral's name for it is "bacterial SSU rRNA". It matches the Rfam family "Bacterial small subunit ribosomal RNA", at positions 355 to 774 of the family's 1533-position model. The record is from RNAcentral. Lineage: Bacteria; Pseudomonadati; Pseudomonadota; Alphaproteobacteria; Hyphomicrobiales; Devosiaceae.
UGGGGAAUAUUGGACAAUGGGCGAAAGCCUGAUCCAGCCAUGCCGCGUGAGUGAUGAAGGCCCUAGGGUUGUAAAGCUCUUUCAGUGGGGAAGAUAAUGACGGUACCCACAGAAGAAGCCCCGGCUAACUUCGUGCCAGCAGCCGCGGUAAUACGAAGGGGGCUAGCGUUGUUCGGAUUUACUGGGCGUAAAGCGCACGUAGGCGGAUUGUUAAGUCAGGGGUGAAAUCCUGGAGCUCAACUCCAGAACUGCCUUUGAUACUGGCAAUCUAGAGUCCGGAAGAGGUGAGUGGAACUCCUAGUGUAGAGGUGGAAUUCGUAGAUAUUAGGAAGAACACCAGUGGCGAAGGCGGCUCACUGGUCCGGUACUGACGCUGAGGUGCGAAAGCGUGGGGAGCAAACA